AGCGUACACGGUGGAUGCCCUGGCAGUCAGAGGCGAUGAAGGACGUGCUAAUCUGCGAUAAGCGUCGGUAAGGUGAUAUGAACCGUUAUAACCGGCGAUUUCCGAAUGGGGAAACCCAGUGUGUUUCGACACACUAUCAUUAACUGAAUCCAUAGGUUAAUGAGGCGAACCGGGGGAACUGAAACAUCUAAGUACCCCGAGGAAAAGAAAUCAACCGAGAUUCCCCCAGUAGCGGCGAGCGAACGGGGAGCAGCCCAGAGCCUGAAUCAGUGUGUGUGUUAGUGGAAGCGUCUGGAAAGGCGCGCGAUACAGGGUGACAGCCCCGUACACAAAAAUGCACAUGCUGUGAGCUCGAUGAGUAGGGCGGGACACGUGGUAUCCUGUCUGAAUAUGGGGGGACCAUCCUCCAAGGCUAAAUACUCCUGACUGACCGAUAGUGAACCAGUACCGUGAGGGAAAGGCGAAAAGAACCCCGGCGAGGGGAGUGAAAAAGAACCUGAAACCGUGUACGUACAAGCAGUGGGAGCACGCUUAGGCGUGUGACUGCGUACCUUUUGUAUAAUGGGUCAGCGACUUAUAUUCUGUAGCAAGGUUAACCGAAUAGGGGAGCCGAAGGGAAACCGAGUCUUAACUGGGCGUUAAGUUGCAGGGUAUAGACCCGAAACCCGGUGAUCUAGCCAUGGGCAGGUUGAAGGUUGGGUAACACUAACUGGAGGACCGAACCGACUAAUGUUGAAAAAUUAGCGGAUGACUUGUGGCUGGGGGUGAAAGGCCAAUCAAACCGGGAGAUAGCUGGUUCUCCCCGAAAGCUAUUUAGGUAGCGCCUCGUGAAUUCAUCUCCGGGGGUAGAGCACUGUUUCGGCAAGGGGGUCAUCCCGACUUACCAACCCGAUGCAAACUGCGAAUACCGGAGAAUGUUAUCACGGGAGACACACGGCGGGUGCUAACGUCCGUCGUGAAGAGGGAAACAACCCAGACCGCCAGCUAAGGUCCCAAAGUCAUGGUUAAGUGGGAAACGAUGUGGGAAGGCCCAGACAGCCAGGAUGUUGGCUUAGAAGCAGCCAUCAUUUAAAGAAAGCGUAAUAGCUCACUGGUCGAGUCGGCCUGCGCGGAAGAUGUAACGGGGCUAAACCAUGCACCGAAGCUGCGGCAGCGACGCUUAUGCGUUGUUGGGUAGGGGAGCGUUCUGUAAGCCUGCGAAGGUGUGCUGUGAGGCAUGCUGGAGGUAUCAGAAGUGCGAAUGCUGACAUAAGUAACGAUAAAGCGGGUGAAAAGCCCGCUCGCCGGAAGACCAAGGGUUCCUGUCCAACGUUAAUCGGGGCAGGGUGAGUCGACCCCUAAGGCGAGGCCGAAAGGCGUAGUCGAUGGGAAACAGGUUAAUAUUCCUGUACUUGGUGUUACUGCGAAGGGGGGACGGAGAAGGCUAUGUUGGCCGGGCGACGGUUGUCCCGGUUUAAGCGUGUAGGCUGGUUUUCCAGGCAAAUCCGGAAAAUCAAGGCUGAGGCGUGAUGACGAGGCACUACGGUGCUGAAGCAACAAAUGCCCUGCUUCCAGGAAAAGCCUCUAAGCAUCAGGUAACAUCAAAUCGUACCCCAAACCGACACAGGUGGUCAGGUAGAGAAUACCAAGGCGCUUGAGAGAACUCGGGUGAAGGAACUAGGCAAAAUGGUGCCGUAACUUCGGGAGAAGGCACGCUGAUAUGUAGGUGAGGUCCCUCGCGGAUGGAGCUGAAAUCAGUCGAAGAUACCAGCUGGCUGCAACUGUUUAUUAAAAACACAGCACUGUGCAAACACGAAAGUGGACGUAUACGGUGUGACGCCUGCCCGGUGCCGGAAGGUUAAUUGAUGGGGUUAGCCGCAAGGCGAAGCUCUUGAUCGAAGCCCCGGUAAACGGCGGCCGUAACUAUAACGGUCCUAAGGUAGCGAAAUUCCUUGUCGGGUAAGUUCCGACCUGCACGAAUGGCGUAAUGAUGGCCAGGCUGUCUCCACCCGAGACUCAGUGAAAUUGAACUCGCUGUGAAGAUGCAGUGUACCCGCGGCAAGACGGAAAGACCCCGUGAACCUUUACUAUAGCUUGACACUGAACAUUGAGCCUUGAUGUGUAGGAUAGGUGGGAGGCUUAGAAGUGUGGACGCCAGUCUGCAUGGAGCCGACCUUGAAAUACCACCCUUUAAUGUUUGAUGUUCUAACGUUGACCCGUAAUCCGGGUUGCGGACAGUGUCUGGUGGGUAGUUUGACUGGGGCGGUCUCCUCCUAAAGAGUAACGGAGGAGCACGAAGGUUGGCUAAUCCUGGUCGGACAUCAGGAGGUUAGUGCAAUGGCAUAAGCCAGCUUGACUGCGAGCGUGACGGCGCGAGCAGGUGCGAAAGCAGGUCAUAGUGAUCCGGUGGUUCUGAAUGGAAGGGCCAUCGCUCAACGGAUAAAAGGUACUCCGGGGAUAACAGGCUGAUACCGCCCAAGAGUUCAUAUCGACGGCGGUGUUUGGCACCUCGAUGUCGGCUCAUCACAUCCUGGGGCUGAAGUAGGUCCCAAGGGUAUGGCUGUUCGCCAUUUAAAGUGGUACGCGAGCUGGGUUUAGAACGUCGUGAGACAGUUCGGUCCCUAUCUGCCGUGGGCGCUGGAGAACUGAGGGGGGCUGCUCCUAGUACGAGAGGACCGGAGUGGACGCAUCACUGGUGUUCGGGUUGUCAUGCCAAUGGCACUGCCCGGUAGCUAAAUGCGGAAGAGAUAAGUGCUGAAAGCAUCUAAGCACGAAACUUGCCCCGAGAUGAGUUCU
This 2775-nucleotide ribosomal RNA is filed under the name Escherichia coli. RNAcentral's name for it is "bacterial LSU rRNA". It matches the Rfam family "Bacterial large subunit ribosomal RNA". Lineage: Bacteria; Pseudomonadati; Pseudomonadota; Gammaproteobacteria; Enterobacterales; Enterobacteriaceae. The record is from RNAcentral.